UACGGAGGGGUUAGCGUUGUUCGGAAUUACUGGGCGUAAAGCGCACGUAGGCGGAUCAGAAAGUUGGGGGUGAAAUCCCGGGGCUCAACCCCGGAACGGCCUCCAAAACUCCUGGUCUUGAGUUCGAGAGAGGUGAGUGGAAUUCCGAGUGUAGAGGUGAAAUUCGUAGAUAUUCGGAGGAACACCAGUGGCGAAGGCGGCUCACUGGCUCGAUACUGACGCUGAGGUGCGAAAGUGUGGGGAGCAAACAGGAUUAGAUACCCUGGUAGUCCCUGAGCGGGCU
This 283-nucleotide ribosomal RNA is filed under the name uncultured prokaryote. RNAcentral's name for it is "partial 16S ribosomal RNA". It matches the Rfam family "Bacterial small subunit ribosomal RNA", at positions 524 to 817 of the family's 1533-position model. The record is from RNAcentral.